RNAcentral lists this ribosomal RNA (505 nucleotides) under uncultured bacterium. RNAcentral describes it as "partial 16S ribosomal RNA". It matches the Rfam family "Bacterial small subunit ribosomal RNA", at positions 28 to 507 of the family's 1533-position model. The record is from RNAcentral.
GACGAACGCUGGCGGCGUGCCUAAUACAUGCAAGUAGAACGCACAGUUUAUACCGUAGCUUGCUACACCAUAGACUGUGAGUUGCGAACGGGUGAGUAACGCGUAGGUAACCUGCCUGGUAGCGGGGGAUAACUAUUGGAAACGAUAGCUAAUACCGCAUAAUAUUGAUUAUUGCAUGAUAAUUGAUUGAAAGAUGCUAUUGCAUCACUACCAGAUGGACCUGCGUUGUAUUAGCUAGUAGGUGAGGUAACGGCUCACCUAGGCGACGAUACAUAGCCGACCUGAGAGGGUGGUCGGCCACACUGGGACUGAGACACGGCCCAGACUCCUACGGGAGGCAGCAGUAGGGAAUCUUCGGCAAUGGACGGAAGUCUGACCGAGCAACGCCGCGUGAGUGAAGAAGGUUUUCGGAUCGUAAAGCUCUGUUGUAAGAGAAGAACGGGUGUGAGAGUGGAAAGUUCACACUGUGACGGUAUCUUACCAGAAAGGGACGGCUAACUACGUG